Molecule: long non-coding RNA, 535 nt
Organism: Hippocampus comes (tiger tail seahorse)
Lineage: Eukaryota; Metazoa; Chordata; Actinopteri; Syngnathiformes; Syngnathidae
Exons: 2
Source: RefSeq, a predicted model, not a curated record
AUACUUUCUGGAGUUUCUUGUUCGUGAAUUGUGGAACAAACGUGAAAUGGGCUUUUCAAGACAGAACAAGAGGUUGAAAACAGAGUUAGUGUUUCAAAGGUAGGACCUCCAACCGGGGUAAGAGUUCUAAGAUAUGCUUAGAUUUUCAAAGCAGGGUUCCAAGACAGGUUUGCUGAUGUGUGUAAUGUUGCACGAUUACCCUGUUCGGUGAGCCACGUUCCAUGUUUUGUGUGUGUGUGUGUGUGUGUGUGUGGUGGCCUGAUGACAGCUUCAUGACUGUUGCGAAACAUAACAGCCCACAUCUGUCCACUUCUUUUGUCAGACAUAACUGGGACAAUCCGAGUGGGAUAAAAUUGCAACUGUAUCAGAUGUUCCCCUGUCGCAGGAGGAGAGGCGGAAAGUCGGACCGGGGGGCCGCCAUCGAUUGUCUGCCAUUUGGGAUGGAUGAAGCAAGCAUCUAGCAUCAGUCAGUUAAAAGUGCAUGAUUGACAGUGUAGGAUAGUGGUUUGAAACUACCAUCAUCAUUUCCCCCCCC